Molecule: ribosomal RNA, 252 nt
Filed under: uncultured bacterium
Lineage: Bacteria
Description: partial 16S ribosomal RNA
Rfam family: Bacterial small subunit ribosomal RNA
Source: RNAcentral
UACGUAGGGGGCUAGCGUUAUCCGGAUUUAUUGGGCGUAAAGCGAGCGCAGGUGGUUUAUUAAGUCUGGUGUAAAAGGCAGUGGCUCAACCAUUGUAUGCAUUGGAAACUGGUAGACUUGAGUGCAGGAGAGGAGAGUGGAAUUCCAUGUGUAGCGGUGAAAUGCGUAGAUAUAUGGAGGAACACCGGUGGCGAAAGCGGCUCUCUGGCCUGUAACUGACACUGAGGCUCGAAAGCGUGGGGAGCAAACAGG